This 373-nucleotide ribosomal RNA is filed under the name uncultured organism. RNAcentral describes it as "partial 16S ribosomal RNA". It matches the Rfam family "Bacterial small subunit ribosomal RNA", at positions 527 to 896 of the family's 1533-position model. The record is from RNAcentral.
GUAGGUGGCAAGCGUUGCCCGGAAUUAUUGGGCGUAAAGCGCGCGCAGGUGGUUCUUUAAGUCUGAUGUGAAAGCCCCCGGCUCAACCGGGGAGGGUCAUUGGAAACUGGGGAACUUGAGUGCAGGAGAGGAAAGUGGAAUUCCACGUGUAGCGGUGAAAUGCGUAGAUAUGUGGAGGAACACCAGUGGCGAAGGCGACUUUCUGGCCUGUAACUGACACUGAGGCGCGAAAGCGUGGGGAGCAAACAGGGAUUAGAUACCCUGGCAGUCCACGCCGUAAACGAUGAGUGCUAAGUGUUGGGGGGGUUUCCGCCCCCUCAGUGCUGCAGCUAACGCAUUAAGCACUCCGCCUGGGAGUACGGUCGCAAGACUG